Molecule: long non-coding RNA, 214 nt
Filed under: Ananas comosus (pineapple)
Lineage: Eukaryota; Viridiplantae; Streptophyta; Magnoliopsida; Poales; Bromeliaceae
Description: long non-coding RNA (ACOM_LNC019532)
Source: RNAcentral
CUGUGAACAUUUUUCAUUUUUCAAGGUGGCAAAGUGUAGGUUUUUGAAUGAUAGGUGGGGAAAGUGAAAAAGUGGGUAUUAACAUGAUGGUUUUUUGUAAUUUAGCCUAUAUAUAUAUAUAUAUAUAUAUAUAUAUAUAUAUAUAUAUUGUAAUAUACUGAAUUUGGGCCUAUGAGUAAGUUCGAAGGUUGGAUUGGUUUUUGGAACUGGUCUA